CCUGUCUGCCUGCACGCUGCCAUGAAGAUAAUGACCUAAACCUCUGAAAGUGGGCCAAAGACAGAAGCUACCAACUCACCAGCUGUGUGAAUCUACAUCCCUGGAGUGUUAAUGUCAAGGCUGAAACAACAAGUGUUUGGUCACCGUGACAAGAAAACCAACUAAUGUGUGUGGUGAGCUAAAGACGGAAGCCAGGCUGGGACCCGGAAUGUCUCACAGCCAGGGGGCUAACCCUCAGGCCCAUGACAGCUCAUCUCUCCUAGAGUGCUUGGAUCACGCGUGGGUUGCCACACUCAUAUGGCACUUAGACGGGCUACAGGGAUUUGAACUCCAAUCCUCCGUCUUGUAUAGCAUAGCAAACAUUUGACCCUGAGCCAUGUUUCC
Molecule: non-coding RNA, 384 nt
Organism: Peromyscus maniculatus bairdii (prairie deer mouse)
Lineage: Eukaryota; Metazoa; Chordata; Mammalia; Rodentia; Cricetidae
Source: RefSeq, a predicted model, not a curated record